RNAcentral lists this ribosomal RNA (497 nucleotides) under uncultured bacterium. Its description in RNAcentral is "partial 16S ribosomal RNA". It matches the Rfam family "Bacterial small subunit ribosomal RNA", at positions 28 to 507 of the family's 1533-position model. The record is from RNAcentral.
GAUGAACGCUGGCGGCGUGCCUAAUACAUGCAAGUCGAACGCACAGACGCGUAUCAGUCCCUUCUGUCAAUAGGGGCGAGCGGGGGAGGAGGACGGGGAAAACCUACGUAUACGACCGGGAUAACUGCGGGGAACAGGAGCGAAUAGCUGCUAAUAUAUCAAAACAAGUUGUUCCAUAGGGAAAGACGGUGUUGCAGACACUAAUGCGUGGAUCCGCGCCGCAUUCGCGAGAGGGUAAGGAAACGGUGUACCAAGGCAAAGAUGCGUAGCCGACGCGAGGGGGUGAUCGGCCACACUGGAACUGAGACACGGUCCAGACUCCUACGGGAGGCAGCAGUAGGGAAUCUUCCGCAAUGGGCGAAAGCCUGACGGAGCAACGCCGCGUGAGUGAUGAAGGUCUUCGGAUCGUAAAACUCUGUUAUUAGGGAAGAACAAAGGUGUAAGUAACUAUGCACGUCUUGACGGUACCUAAUCAGAAAGCCACGGCUAACUACGUG